This 372-nucleotide RNase P RNA is filed under the name Candidatus Apopatosoma intestinale. RNAcentral's name for it is "RNase P RNA component class A". It matches the Rfam family "Bacterial RNase P class A". From Rfam's summary of the family: Ribonuclease P (RNase P) is a ubiquitous endoribonuclease, found in archaea, bacteria and eukarya as well as chloroplasts and mitochondria. Its best characterised activity is the generation of mature 5'-ends of tRNAs by cleaving the 5'-leader elements of precursor-tRNAs. Lineage: Bacteria; Bacillati; Bacillota; Clostridia; Eubacteriales. The record is from RNAcentral.
UGACCGGGCCGAGCAAUCGCGUGAUAUGGUGCCGAAAGGUAUUAUCAUGAGGAAAGUCCGGGCUUCAUAGGGCAGGAUAACGGAUAACGUCCGCCGAAGGUGACUUCCGGGAAAGUGCAACAGAAAAUUACCGCCGUGUCCGCACGGUAAGGAUGAAAAGGCGAGGUAAGAGCUCACCGUCCCCACGGUAACGCGGGGAGCCAUGUAAACCCUAUCCGAAGCAACGCCCCGCGCCCAGUGGCUUGCCCGGCCCGGGUCGCAAGACCCAGCGCGAGGAGGCAGUCUCCGAAAAUGAGACAAGCCGCACGGUAACGUGCGGCGAAGAUAGAUGAUUGCUCUCGACAGAACCCGGCUUAUAGGCCCGGUCAUUCC